GAUGAACGCUGGCGGCGUGCCUAAUACAUGCAAGUCGAGCGAACAGACGAGGAGCUUGCUCCUCUGACGUUAGCGGCGGACGGGUGAGUAACACGUGGAUAACCUACCUAUAAGACUGUGAUAACUUCGGGAAACCGUAGCUAAUACCGGAUAAUAUAUUGAACCGCAUGGUUCAAUAGUUAAAGACGGUUUUGCUGUCACUUAUAGAUGGCUCCGCGCCGCAUUAGCUAGUUGGUAAGGUAACGGCUUACCAAGGCAACGAUGCGUAGCCGACCUGAGAGGGUGAUCGGCCACACUGGAACUGAGACACGGUCCAGACUCCUGCGGGAGGCAGCAGUAGGGAAUCUUCCGCGAUGGGCGAAAGCCUGACGGAGCAACGCCGCGUGAGUGAUGAAGGUCUUCGGAUCGUAAAACUCUGUUAUUAGGGGAGAACAAAUGUGUAAGUACCUGUGCACGUAUUGACGGUACCUAGACAGAAAGCCACGGCUAACUACGUG
This 497-nucleotide ribosomal RNA is filed under the name uncultured bacterium. Its description in RNAcentral is "partial 16S ribosomal RNA". It matches the Rfam family "Bacterial small subunit ribosomal RNA", at positions 28 to 507 of the family's 1533-position model. The record is from RNAcentral.